RNAcentral lists this unclassified non-coding RNA (303 nucleotides) under fungal sp. RNAcentral describes it as "partial internal transcribed spacer region". The stretch from base 1 to 46 matches the Rfam family "Eukaryotic small subunit ribosomal RNA", at positions 1786 to 1831 of the family's 1831-position model. The record is from RNAcentral. Lineage: Eukaryota; Fungi.
AAGUCGUAACAAGGUUUCCGUAGGUGAACCUGCGGAAGGAUCAUUUACACGGAAAUGAUUUGAGAGAAGUCGGUGGACGUUACAAUUGAGCACUCGAUGAAGCACCCUAGUACCUUUUGAUCUAUCCAAUGUGUCAAGCGAUGGUCAGAGUAACGCAGUCAACGAUCGCUGUAGAUCCUCACGACCGGCGACCGGGGUGGAGGCGAAAGUCCUUACUUCACCCCUAUGUACCCUCCGGGACUUGGCGAAAGCUGACUCCGUCAUAAAUCGAUCAACUGUUAACAAUGAAAUAUCUUCUUUCUC